Gossypium raimondii (Peruvian cotton) is the source of this 107-nucleotide small nucleolar RNA. It matches the Rfam family "Plant small nucleolar RNA R71". From Rfam's summary of the family: R71 is a member of the C/D box family of snoRNAs containing the C (UGAUGA) and D (CUGA) box motifs. Multiple nearly identical copies of this snoRNA have been identified in Arabidopsis, and it is thought to function as a 2'-O-ribose methylation guide for 18S ribosomal RNA. The record is from Rfam. NCBI's taxonomy places the organism in Eukaryota, Viridiplantae, Streptophyta, Magnoliopsida, Malvales, Malvaceae.
AUCUCGUGGUGAGGGCAUCUACAAAGUAACUCAUUCAAUCUUUCUCAUGCCUCAUAUAAGGAUUCAUCAUCCAUAUGUUGAAACAUGGAGAUCUUAUUUUGGAACUU